GUGAUGAACAACUGUGUUUUGGACUAGAGUUUCUGAUACUGCUACAUCGUGGUAGUAGUUGAAGACCAAACCCUUGGCUGUCUGAACUCAAAUCUCGCAAAUCAGCUGUAGCGUUGUCAUCUUUAGAGUUCAGAUUAGGUUUGUCUUUCUAAUUCUAGUUAUUAGAUGCGUCCAUUACCAAUUCUGGAGGAUUUUUUUCGUUUCUCUCGGUAUAAUGGCUCGGACGCGACAUUCGAUUCUUGUGGUUAUAUCCUGAUUGGUGGCGUUUUUGGUGCCAAUCCGAUCCUGGAAAGGCCACGAAAAUUCAAUCACAUGUGAAUUUGUUUUUUAUUUUUUAAGUUUGUGGGAUCUAAAGGAUGUGAAAAUUUGAAAGGGACAACGCCUUAUCUGUUAGAUUGUGGCGUACCAUGACAAUUCUUUCAUAUUGAAUAGGAAGAUCUGAUAGAUCCCUGAAACUUUUUUUUCCUUUUCCUUUUUUCUGUUUUGUUUCUGGACUCUGAUUUGAGGUGUGGAUGAUGAUAACACAGGUAAAAUACAGUUAUCCCUGUCUGAUUCCUUCGCAAAGGGUGCUGAGAAUACUUUAAUCUGACACAUGUUUUCCCUUUCAUUCCCGUUUUUAUAUUAUUAUACGAAGUUCUUUUGGUAGAUCUUGGCCUUUGAUGACCUGAUGGUUACAGAACAGGUAAAUGUUUGCCUGAUAUCUGUUGAUAUUUCUCAUGAACUAGGACGGUCUGAGGUCGUUUGAUCAUGCAUGUACUUUGCUGCACAUUUGCUUGUUGGUACUUUUAUUUUUGCUUCUGUGGUUGCAUGAACGGAUUUGAUUUGCGAAUGAGAUGGCUGUGACGACUCGGAAAUAUUCAAGCUCAACAGACCAAAUCACAUGUCUAUCUCUGAAAAUCGAGAUUGAUCUGAGUUUGUUGCGAUGAGGACAAACAAGCUCCCUCUUCUGAAGACAUUGAUGACGCUUGCUGGCAGAAUCGAACCAAUAAACCUGUUGCCAUCACUGAGUAACUAGAUAUCGCAUCCAAUAUAUAGUUUUGAAGUAACUUGAUUUGAGACAGGCUUCUGCUGUGUGAGUGAAGCAGCCAUCUUUGCAUCUGAAGUCUGAACCCAUUAUAUCUUUUGGUUGUAUAUCAGAGUAUGAAACCUCGAUACAAUCUUAGGACACCUUCUGACACAUCGUUUGCUCUGUGAAUGAGAAGUCGAUUCUUUUCUGAUGAUACUAAAUGAUUCCCUCUGGUAUUGCCGUUUGAAAUUUCUUCUUUUCACAGUUUUCUCGUCUUUUAACCAGUUUUAGCAUUUCAUAAAUUAUCCUUUUGACCAUUUCAUAUCAGUUGACAUGGAUAUCACAAUAGAAGCCUAUGAAGAUUAGCGUUACAUCUGGAAUUACCGUCAGAUUUACUUGUGACGACAAUUGCCUGGCUUCCUGAGGCUUAACCAUUACUUAGAUUAGAUGUAAUCUAUAUUUUUUCCAUGUUUCUGUCAUGCUAGGUCAUUCUGUUUCCAGUUUUAGUUAUGCUAUAUUGAUCGUGAUGUUGCAUUUUAUUUAAGUGUUUUUUAUUAUGCAUGUACAGUUGUGUUAUACUUGUCCCAGUGAAGAUCUCAAGACCUACCGAUAGGAAGUGCUGUUUGACACUGUUACCAGCAGCUGCUUCUCUCAUCUGCAGGUGUCCAUCCUUAGACACCUUUGUGGUUUGGCCUGAGGUGGAGUUCCCAUCUGCAGAUGUUUGAUUCAGAUGUGGUGUGUGAUUUAAAUCGGGUCUCUGAGGGAUAGUAUGAAACUAUAUUUUAUUAUGAAACUAUAUUUUAUUUUAUAUUGUAACUUUGUGCAUUAUUUUGCCAGUCUCAUGGGCCUGAUGCCACGUCAACGGUAGCUAUGUGCAUUAACCGGAGAUGCUAUGAUUAGGCCUAAAAAGAGUUGUUUCAAUGUUUCACAUUUUGAUAGGAAUCGGUGGACUGCCUGUCUAUCUGUCCACAGAGCCGGUUUGUGUGAUUACAUUUACAUUUCUUUUUACCCUUUUGUUUUUAUGUGGUGAUGAUGACACAGCUAAGGCUUGUUUCUCAACAUUCGCAGUAGCCGACUAAGAGCUUUCGCCCUGCUAGGCUUGAGAGCUAGUGCUGUUGUUGGUUCCUUCCUUGGAUGUCUGAGCCUUGUUUUCCCACCUUGCAUUUCAUGCUUUAGAACAUUGUUCAAAUUGUCUUACAUCAGUUCUUGUUUGCUAUUCGUGCAUUGCAAAUGAUGAUAAAAUCAAGGCUUGUUUCUCUACAUUCGCAGUUGCUGCCUAAGAGCUUUCGCUCUGCCAGGCUUGAGAGCUAAUGCUGCUAAAUCCUUCCUUGGAUGUCUGAUGCAAUCAUGCAAAUUCAAUAUAUUUCUCUUGUAUUUGUACUAUUGUUCCACUGGUCUCUUCUAGUGUUUUCUUUAUAUUAGUAAUCUGUGACCUAUGCUGGUCCUCUCUUCUCUUUGCAUUUUUUGGUGACUGUCAGUCAUAAUGUAGUCCUGUUCUGCUGUUGUACGAUAUUGGAAGAGCUGAAUUGCUGGAUCAUGGAGUAGAGCUCUAACACCAAAGGAAGCGGAUUCCUCAGGCUUCUAAGAGGAAGGAAAGUAAGGAAACUUUGGGUCGACAGUGCUGUGUAGCAUGAAUCCGUUUUUAUCUUGUUCACGUGUUCAGUAUGUCUGUAUGUGCACGAUUUUAUGUUCAGUUUAAUUUGAUCAGUUGUAUUAGUAUUUGUGCAAGAGUGCUUCCUCGUUAAUGUAAAGACAGUAGCCUUUUGUGAAAUGUCUUGAGCUUAUUUUUACUUCGUACGACACUCAGAUGAUUAUGUAUGUAUUUAAGAAAAUGUUAAGAGAAAUUGUAUGAGAUUGGUAUUGAACUAUUUUGUUAUAUUCA
Long non-coding RNA from Panicum virgatum (switchgrass), 2888 nucleotides. RefSeq lists it as uncharacterized. Lineage: Eukaryota; Viridiplantae; Streptophyta; Magnoliopsida; Poales; Poaceae. The transcript is spliced from 2 exons. The record is from RefSeq and is a predicted model, not a curated record.